Molecule: ribosomal RNA, 119 nt
Filed under: Pteropus alecto (black flying fox)
Lineage: Eukaryota; Metazoa; Chordata; Mammalia; Chiroptera; Pteropodidae
Source: RNAcentral
UACUAUGGUCAUGCUACCCUGAACCUGCUAGAUCUCGUCUGAUCUCGGAAGCUAAGCAGGGUCGGGCCUGAUUAAUAGUUGGAUAGGAGACCACCUAGGAAUAUCAGGUGCUGUAGGCG